Molecule: ribosomal RNA, 497 nt
Filed under: uncultured bacterium
Lineage: Bacteria
Description: partial 16S ribosomal RNA
Rfam family: Bacterial small subunit ribosomal RNA
Source: RNAcentral
GAUGAACGCUGGCGGCGUGCCUAACACAUGCAAGUCGAGCGAACAGACGAGGAGCUUUCUCCUCUGACGUUAGCGGGGGACGGGUGAGUAACACGUGGAUAACCUACCUAUUUUUCUGGGGUAACUUCGGGAAACCGGGGCUAAUACCGGAUAAUAUAUUUAACCGCAUGGUUCAAUAGUUGAAGACGGCUUUGCCGGCACUUAUAGAUGGAUCCGCGCUGCAUUAGCUAGUGGGUAAGGUAGCGGCUGACCAAGGCAACGAUGCGUAGCCGACCUGAGAGGGUGAACGGCCACACUGGAACUGAGACACGGUCCAGACUCCUACGGGAGGCAGCAGCAGGGAGUAUUGCGCAAUGGGCGAAAGCCUGACGGAGCAACGCCGCGUGAGUGAUGAAGGUCUUCGGAUGGUAAAGCUCUGUUAUUAGGGAAGAACAAAUGUGUAAGUAACCAUGCACGUCUUGACGGUAACUAAUCAGAAAGCCCCGGCUAACUACGUG